This 2239-nucleotide long non-coding RNA is filed under the name Amborella trichopoda. Its description in RNAcentral is "long non-coding RNA (ATRI_LNC001916)". Lineage: Eukaryota; Viridiplantae; Streptophyta; Magnoliopsida; Amborellales; Amborellaceae. The record is from RNAcentral.
UCCAUUGAUGAUGAAUUCAAGCUUAAUCAAAGCCAUGGAUGAUCUAGUUUUCAAGACCAUCAAUUGAGUAAGAUCUUAUCAUUUGCUAUUGAUUUUAGUAUUUUCUUCUUGCUUCCUAAUUACAGCAAGGUCCCAUUAUCCAUUUGAUUAUUGAUUCAUGAAUUCUUGAUCAAAUUUAGUCCAUAUAGUUGAAGGGAUCAUCUGUGCAUAAAUUGAUCUAGUUUCCAUGACCCUUUUUUUGAGAUUUUUGGAGGAUAAUUGACUGAUAUUUCUGAGUUUUUCACAUCAAAAUCAGUCAAUUGAAUAGCAUUUUUUAUAGAUAAAAUUCUUGAUUUUAUGAGAGGAGAUUAUAACGAAUUUCUAUGGCACGGUUUUGUGAACUCUUGAGACUGUUUUGUGAUCUAAUCUCAAGAUUUCUCCCACGAGCUCCACUUAUGUUUUUGUUUAUUUGAUCUCUGCAAAUUCUUCCAUGUUUCUAGUGUAUAUCAGUAGUUGAUUAGCUUCCCACUCUUGACAUGAUGAAUUUGGCUGAAUUUUGAGAUAUGCCAUCAGAUGUCACUUUAUGGCACAUAGCUAAGGCCUAGGGCCGUGAACUGGGUACCCGAGAACUGCGAUUGGCUUCCCAUGGACAUGCUGCAUUGCAUAAUUCAUUUGAGCAUUUAUGUAUUGUAAUAAUGGUGAUCAUGUUUCCUUGAGUUUUGUGAAGUCAUUUGAUAUAUAAAUUUGCAUUAAAAUUGAAUGGUGUAGAAGUUUUAAAAUCACCUCAUACUUGUCUAGUUCGUUGAUAUCUAUGUGUAGUUUUGUUUUAUGUUGGUCAUGGGACCCUAAUUGAGUUGUCUCCUCUUAUUUUUGAGUGUAUACUCAGUCAUUUGUCUACUGCAAUCACAAUUAUGCUAGUGUAAUUGAAGGUUGUAAGCUCAUUUGUGGUGAAUAGUACAAGAAUUUUGAGUUGUAUUCACUUGUAUUGUCUCAUUGCCUAAUUGCAAGCCUAUGUAAUUUGGUGUUUUUACACUCUCAUAUACCUCUUUGUCUUAGUUAUGGACAACUUAACUAGGGACCUAAACGAUGAGGUACCGUAGUACAUGUUGUUCGUGGGUGACAUAUUUUUUAUAGAAGAGACCUUAAACGGCGUCAACACAAAGUUAAAACUUUGGAGGAAAGUUCUAGAAUCUAAAAGCUUUAAAAUUAGCUGGACUAAGACAAAUUGUAUGGAAUAAAAGUUUAGUAAUUAUAGGAGUAGAGAUGAAGAAGUAAUUAAUAUUAAUGGCCAAAAAUUACCAAAAAGAUUACACUUUCGAUAUCUUGGUUUGAUAAUCUAGGAAAAUGAAAAAGAUUGAGGAAGAUAGUGCACAUAGAAUUAGAGCUGGAUAGACGAAGUGGAGAUAUGGAAACGGAGUUUUAUGUGAUUGCUGCAUACCAAUGAAUCUGAAGGCAGUUCUAUAGGACAGUUGUGAGAUGUGAUUUAUGAAGUAGAAUAUUGGCAGUCAAGAAACUACAUACUCGUAAAGUGAGUGUAGUUGAGAUGAAGAUGUUGAGAUGAAUGAGUGAAAAAAAAAAAAUGGUUAAAAAUUCGAAAUAUGGAUCGUCUUCCAAAAACUUUUGGGUCAUGUUGAUAGUUUGUUUCAUGAGUUUUGGCCCAUGAAUUAAUGNNNNNNNNNNNNNNNNNNNNCCUAUUAAGAUGUUGAUCCAUGUGUAUGGACUUUAGAAUUUUCAUGAUGGACAAUGCUCUCCUACACAUUCUGUGGUGUUUAUUGACUGCUGAAAGUGAACAUCGACUGCUGAGUUGCCUGUGUAUGUUAUAUGGGGGUUCUAAGUUGUUUAUUGACUGCUGAAAAUGAACAUUGACUGUUGAACUGCAGGUGAUUGCAGGCAUAAAAUAUUGGUGAGUCGUCAGAGCAACGAUUGAACGAAAUCUCAGUUUGGCGUCUUGGCCUAUACAUAAAAUCUGGUUUGCAGCAUGAGCUUGGUUGGAAGCAUUGAUCUGCCCUAUUUUCGGGCGACUGUGAUGUAGUUAUCUAUUGUGCCUGGUUUGAUUGUGGUGUUUCCAAUGUAAUAUUUUUCUAUGCUUUUGUCAUUGGCAUGGUGAUUGGGUUUAGGAAGAAGUGGUCUAACUUAUAUUGUGCAGAAUUUUUGUUUGGUUUUUGAGGGACAAUUGGAGUGUUGCUUGUCUGAGAAGGACUCCUUGAUGUACAUUAUAGAGGGAAUUUUUUUAUGACAGUUUUUGGACAUUUGGUAGAAA